RNAcentral lists this long non-coding RNA (489 nucleotides) under Brassica napus (rape). RNAcentral's name for it is "long non-coding RNA (BNAP_LNC010795)". The record is from RNAcentral. Lineage: Eukaryota; Viridiplantae; Streptophyta; Magnoliopsida; Brassicales; Brassicaceae.
AAUCUGGAUGGCCAAUUGUUGGAAGCACAUAAAAAAAUCAAUCCUUAAUAUUAGAGUCACUAGACUUGAUUGUUACUUGACAAAUUACCGGAGCAUAAGAACAACAAUAACAUGUCACCAUUACAAAUCUAGACAAUCGGUAUGACGGUAUGACACAUGCUUUUAUUACAAGGAAAUAACCAGAUUCGUUUUUUUAUAGUUUGAGCACAAAACGUAUUUCCAUGGUCUCGAUUUUCUAUUUCAGCUUUCAUAAUAAAUAAAAUUAAACUACAUCUUCUUCUUAGAAAAUUACAAAGACGUUUUUACCAAAAAAAAUUACGAAGACGAGAAUUCAAGCUAUAAAAAAUGUGAAACUCUUAGAAAAAAAUGUAUUAGUUAUUCUUACUUUAUAUCUCGAAAUAUAUCAAAGUGAAAUAAAAAACCAAAAGAAUAAAUAGACACCAUUACAUUUUUUUUAAUUGUGUGUUCUCUUAAAAAAAGAAUGUUAAU